Heligmosomoides polygyrus is the source of this 73-nucleotide non-coding RNA. NCBI's taxonomy places the organism in Eukaryota, Metazoa, Nematoda, Chromadorea, Rhabditida, Heligmosomidae. The record is from Rfam.
UAUCUCUGGUUCCUUUGCAUUUGACCGAGAAAAUCUUUCGCCUUUUACUAAAGAUUUCCGUGCAAAGGAGCAA